This 679-nucleotide ribosomal RNA is filed under the name uncultured organism. RNAcentral's name for it is "bacterial SSU rRNA". It matches the Rfam family "Bacterial small subunit ribosomal RNA", at positions 1 to 663 of the family's 1533-position model. The record is from RNAcentral.
UGCAGAAACGGCAAAGAGUUUGAUCAUGGCUCAGGAUGAACGCUAGCUACAGGCUUAACACAUGCAAGUCGAGGGGCAUCAGGAAGAAAGCUUGCUUUCUUUGCUGGCGACCGGCGCACGGGUGAGUAACACGUAUCCAACCUGCCCUUUACUCGGGGAUAGCCUUUCGAAAGAAAGAUUAAUACCCGAUAGUAUAAUGAUUCCGCAUGGUUUCAUUAUUAAAGGAUUCCGGUAAAGGAUGGGGAUGCGUUCCAUUAGGUUGUUGGUGAGGUAACGGCCCACCAAGCCUUCGAUGGAUAGGGGUUCUGAGAGGAAGGUCCCCCACAUUGGAACUGAGACACGGUCCAAACUCCUACGGGAGGCAGCAGUGAGGAAUAUUGGUCAAUGGGCGUUAGCCUGAACCAGCCAAGUAGCGUGAAGGAUGAAGGCUCUAUGAGUCGUAAACUUCUUUUAUAUAAGAAUAAAGUGCAGUAUGUAUACUGUUUUGUAUGUAUUAUAUGAAUAAGGAUCGGCUAACUCCGUGCCAGCAGCCGCGGUAAUACGGAGGAUCCGAGCGUUAUCCGGAUUUAUUGGGUUUAAAGGGAGCGUAUGUGGACUGGUAAGUCAGUUGUGAAAGUUUGCGGCUCAACCGUAAAAUUGCAGUUGAUACUGUCAGUCUUGAGUACAGUAGAGGUGGGCG